This 4975-nucleotide unclassified non-coding RNA is filed under the name Acanthaster planci (crown-of-thorns starfish). RNAcentral describes it as "protein FAM13A-like, transcript variant X6". The record is from RNAcentral. Lineage: Eukaryota; Metazoa; Echinodermata; Asteroidea; Valvatida; Acanthasteridae.
GGGCGCUGUUCACUUUUAGGGUAUUUGCUAGAGAGAGAGAAAAAAAAACUUUACGUGAGAGAAUAUCCUCCAGCAGGAAAUCAUGCAAACAUAUCUUUUUCCUUUUGUUUUGAAAAAAAAGAACCACUCGAAAACUUGCCUUUGGGCUGCACGAAUUCACUAUCUUUGAGCGUUUCUUUUUGGCUUUGGGGCAUGUCUUCCUGCAGGUAUAUCACGUGAGCUAGUUGAGCGCGUUGAUUGGCUAACCGUAAUAUUUAUUACUUUGCGCGAAGAUAUGUGUAGAAAUGGUGCGAGUGAGACGAAGUGCCCAGACACAAGGAUAAGAUUUGAGACUGGGAAAGCAAAUACUGGGCAAGGACAUUGUAGACAGCGGGGGUGCAGCAUGGUAAACAAGCAAGGUUAAAGUCUGUCAGCUUUCAUCAUGGGUCUCCGCUUACUGGUGUGCAAAACCUUAAAGCAGCCUUAGAUUUGGAAAUUGGAUCUGCCUGAUGGAUUUUUCUAGGACACCCAAUGGAAUAAUUGAACAUUUUGUGAAGACGGGAGUUCUUUUUUUAAAUACUAGAGACAGAUGAGUUUCUACCCGGCCUGUGCCUUGUCACCUAAUCAUAGCGAUGAAAAUAAUCAUAUUGCUGAAUGUUAAAUCAUUGAUGCUCACAAUCCACAAACUUGAAAACAGAACUGAAGGUCAGUGUUUGUCUGGCCAGUACUGACCAUCCCCACUGGGCCCUGUUAAUGACCACCACAGCCUUGAAGCUUUGAAGCCCUGCAGGGCAGCUUGAAAGAAACUGUGGAGAGGUUCAACACCAUCUAUCUCUCGUCUGUGGGAUUUGUACUAGUACUGCAGCAGGUCAGAGUGUGGUUGACGCAAGGUGCUUAAGUGAACAGCAUUGGAUUGCCAGUACGUUCUAUGAGUCAUAGUUAACUGGAACAAGUUGAAGUACGUGUAAUUUAAUUUGAGGCCUGCUGCAUCACUGAGACUAUAACAUUCCCGAAAGAAGAGCAGUCACAAGGAAGCCCUUUGUCAUCAGGUGAGGGCUGCCAGUACUUCUCCUAGAUCAACUUUGAUCGUGUACGUUUACCCUGCAGCUCAUGCCAGUGAUGCGGCCUGUUUUAUGUGGAGCAACAAAUAUCGUGGACCCUAACACUCCCUUACAGGGGUUAGAGUCCGGGGGCGAGGACAACACCAUGCAGAAGAUUCUUCGGUCUCCUGUGACCAUGAAGAAGAAGAUCAACAGCAAGACCUUUGGUGUCCCCCUGAAAGAGCUGGCUAGAGGCCCUACGGGAGUCAGGGUACCAGUCUUCAUCAAGAAGAUAUGCGAGUUCAUUCAAAUGCAUGGUAUCGGGCACGAGGGAAUCUUCCGCAUCAACGGUAGCACCCGGGUGGUGGAUAAGAUGAAGGCCAUGAUUGACAAGAUGGGGGAUGCAGAUUUGGAGGAAGCGGGAGACGUGAUGGCCGUAGCGAGUCUCCUCAAGCUCUUCCUCAGGGAAUUACCGGAUCCCAUCAUGACUGAAGCAUUGCAUCUUAAGUUCAUUAAUACCCAACUAGCCAAUCAAUCCAAUCCUGAUGAUUGCAUCAAGCAGCUCAAGGCUCUCUUACAGCAGCUUCCUGAGGAGCAUUACAUUGUCUUGCGUUACCUGAUCCGAUUCUUGGUCAUGGUAUCGCAAUAUGAAAACACCAAUAAGAUGAACUCCAUGGCAUUGGCCAUUGUGUUUGGCCCAAACCUCUUCAGGUGUAGCGCAGGACUGGAUGGCCUACGAGAGCAAGGCAUCACAAACAUCAUUGUCCGGAUGUUGAUCGACGACUACGAGGCCAUCUUCAAGAAUGAAGAGAAGGAGGAGAUUUCCCCUCCCCCUGCCCAGCCACCAGGGUCAAAGUGCAUCCAGGUGCAGUCAACGACCUCUAAGAAGUCACCUCCAGUCAAACCAAUGCCUUAUCAAGACUACAUCAGACAGAAGGAAGCUAAAAAGAAGAAGGAUUCUGAUGAGCAGCGGGACUACAACAGUAACUCAUACACCGAUACCAACAGGGAAGAAAUGAAGAAAGUUGAGGAUUGUCGAGAUUGUGAUUCACCAGCAGGUGGUCUUCUCAGCCCGAGGGAUGUUGGUGUUGAAGAAAGAGCCUUCUCUCCUUUCAACUUAGAUAGUGAGACGGGAACCAGUACAGCGCCCUCACCUGUCAUAAAUGAUAUAACGUCAGAGCUUGUGGAAAAGACCAUUCAGGAGACUGUCUCAGAGCAUCUGUUUGGUCAGAGCCCUUCACCGGACAGAGAGGAAACCCUCACUACACCAUCACCAGAAGUGCCAGUGCCUUCACCACGACGGAGAUGGCAGAAGAGACAAGAACAAGACAGAGAGAAUAAAGACACCAAUAAUGGCGUCGAUUCCCCUGACGGUCAAAGCACGUCUUCUGUCGAGGAGAUCUGCCCCUCAAUCCAAGACCGUAUCCGAUCAUUUUCUUCCUCGGCUCCUGAUAACAAAUCCCCUGAGAGCUCACCUAAAGUCAAGCGGAAACAUCAGCCAUCUUCAAAAGCAUUUGAAGUGUUUGAAACUCAGGGAAUAGUAAUUGGUCCCGGACCGAGUGAAGUUUUUGUGACAAAAAAGAAACAGAGCACUUCUUCAGCAAUUCCUCUCAUAAUUGACGACCCCAGGAGGGACCAAACCAACAGUUGCAGCCCGCUGUCAAGGAAAAAAGCCCCUGAGCCCCCCACGCGGCCCUCACGGGGGAAGGCCCACCUACUCAAGUCCAAGGGUCAGGAGAAAAGGCCGCAAGAGUCGGGGUCACCAGGGUCAGUCUCUGGAUCACCGAGGUCCAAGUCGCCGAGGUCAUACUCCCCAAGGUCCAAUUCCCCGAGGUCAAUCUCGCCCAAGUCCAAUUCGCCACGAUCAAAUUCACCCAAAACGUAUUCACCCAAUUCGGAUUCCCCCAAGUCAAGGUCACCCAGGUCUAAAUCUCCAAAGUCUCAAUCGCCAAAACCGAUGUCUGUACGCAACAACAGAUUGUCCGUGAAGGACGGUUCUUCCUGUCAGCCGUCAGGCAAUCCUCAGGAUUCAGAAAUCCAUGCAGAUUUCGACAGUCUCCCCUGCAACUCCCCGACACUGAAAUCGUUGACAGCAGGAAGAAUUGCACCUCCCAAAAACAGAAGGUCCCCCUCAAACAGGAGGAGUAAGAUACCUCAAUCGGAGCCGACAAGACGAAAUGUGACUGGUGCCCGGCCGUACACUGAGCCAUUAUCCAUCAUCAUACCGGGGAGUGAACCCAUGGCAGAGGGCUUGGGCCUACCCCAGGAGGCGCCCCAGCCUAAACCCCGCAGGAAACACUCCGGUGUUGAGGCCGUGUCUAUGGGAGCAGAGCCAAGCCAGGGUCUGUCGGGGGAGCUGGAGACGCUGAUGAACGGGGGGCAGGAUGCGGCCAAAUCGCCACCCAAAUCACCGCAGCGACGCGAGCAUGCUGUCCCCCCGCUGAACCUUACCAGCUUGCACGAACAUGCAGACGGUGAAGAGCCUAUACCAGCAUGGAAAGCAAGACAUCAUUUCCAUGACAAUAACCAAGAAGCCAUGCUCUCUCCACGCUCGCUCAAACUACAAACCAUUACUCAUCUGAGUGACCAGCUGGAGGCCCCAUUGUCUCCUAGAGCAAGAAACACACCACUCAACUUCCCCAGUGUGUCACAUGACACGGACGUCCCACCAUCCCCUCCUUCGUCACAGCCAAUUCUGACCUGUGUGUCCAAAAGAACUGAUAAACUUCCUGAGGAGACCGAUACAAUGAGCAUCAAACAGCUUACCAAGCAGAUCAGAACCCUGAAGAGGAAGAUACGACAGUAUGAAGAGGAGUUUGAAGAUCAGCAUGGAUACAAGCCUUCCCACCUUCACAAGACAUCCCAACCCCAAAUUAAGAAAAUGAUGGGAGAAUUGAAGAAAGCCAGCAAACAACUUAAAGAAGCCAAAGAAAAUGCGGCAAAGGCCAAAGUGCCCUUGUCCAACACCCUGCCGGCCAAGAUGAUCAGCCGGAAUCUGACUAAACAGUUUGAAGAAGCCACAACACUGACCAACAUGGAGAUUGCUCUGAGGGAGGCGGAAACCAGACUACAAGAAAAGAGAGACGAAGCCGAUAGACCUGAGGAUAUACUUAUAAUGAACAAGGAACAAGUGCAAGAAGAGAAGACAGCGAUACAGAAAGCAUUGUUACAAAUGGAGAACAAAUUUGGAAGGCCGAGUACCAAAGAAACUAAAGAGUUGAUGAAGCCGUUGUACGAUCGCUACAGGAACGUCAAGAAGCUGUUAGUCAAGCUGGAACUCCGACAACCAGAGGAUGGCCAGUCCUCGUCCCUGGAUCUACAAACAAUCAAAGAGCACGAAGAAACGAAAGAAUUCCAACCCAAGCAAAUGGGCCAAUUUCACAAUCUUUACACCGAAGCAGAAGAAGCUGAAGAGGAAGAGAUGCCAGCCACAGACUUAGCCGUCACUCAGGAGAUCCGGGGUGUCCUCAGCAACAUGGACCUGGAAGACAGCUACCCGAGCCCAGCCGACAGCCGGCGCAGUAGCAGCGGCGGCAGGGAGGAGCCUACACCCGCCUCAGACGUCACCUCCAACCUCCAUGAGGCAUCACUAAGCGAACUCCUGGCCAUGCAGAACCAAUCCAGAGAAGACAAGAAGAGACUACGUAAGAUGCUGAAAGAGUUUGAGGACAACUUCUUCAAGGAGUCAGGGCGCACUGUGCAGAAGGAAGACAGGGUUCCCAUGGAAACGCAGUAUAACGAGUAUAAGCGAGUCAAGGCUAACCUUCGGCUCCUUGAAGCCUUAUUGUCCAAGCGCAUAGAGUACACAUAGUGGUCGUGGUGUUAAAGUGACUGUGUUUGUAGUUUCCCAGUUCUUUGCUUCUUGUGCAUGUCAAGAAGCAUCUUAAGCUGCUCGAAGCGCUGGUCGCCAAACAUCGAGUCCAGGCCUCCUCUCUACCGGAAGAACUGGUUCUCGC